GAUGAACGCUGGCGGCGUGCCUAAUACAUGCAAGUCGAGCGAACAGACGAGGAGCUUGCUCCUCUGACGUUAGCGGCGGACGGGUGAGUAAAACGUGGAUAACCUACCUAUAAGACUGGGAUAACUUCGGGAAACCGGAGCUAAUACCGGAUAAUAUAUUGAACCGCAUGGUUCAAUAGUGAAAGACGGUUUUGCUGUCACUUAUAGAUGGAUCCGCGCCGCAUUAGCUAGUUGGUAAGGUAACGGCUUACCAAGGCGACGAUGCGUAGCCGACCUGAGAGCGUGAUCGGCCACACUGGAACUGAGACACGGUCCAGACUCCUACGGGAGGCAGCAGUAGGGAAUCUUACGCAAUGGGCGAAAGCCUGACGGAGCAACGCCGCGUGAGUGAUGAAGGUCUUAGGAUCGUAAAACUCUGUUAUUAGGGAAGAACAAAUGUGUAAGUAACUAUGCACGUCUUGACGGUACCUAAUCAGAAAGCCACGGCUAACUACGUG
RNAcentral lists this ribosomal RNA (497 nucleotides) under uncultured bacterium. RNAcentral describes it as "partial 16S ribosomal RNA". It matches the Rfam family "Bacterial small subunit ribosomal RNA", at positions 28 to 507 of the family's 1533-position model. The record is from RNAcentral.